Molecule: non-coding RNA, 58 nt
Organism: Aedes albopictus (Asian tiger mosquito)
Lineage: Eukaryota; Metazoa; Arthropoda; Insecta; Diptera; Culicidae
Source: Rfam
UAGCCUAGUGGUUAAAGCUAUGGAUCGCCAAUCCGGAGACGGCGGGUUCGAUUCCCGC